RNAcentral lists this ribosomal RNA (399 nucleotides) under uncultured bacterium. RNAcentral describes it as "bacterial SSU rRNA". It matches the Rfam family "Bacterial small subunit ribosomal RNA", at positions 358 to 773 of the family's 1533-position model. The record is from RNAcentral.
GGAAUUGUUCACAAUGGGCGCAAGCCUGAUGACGCAACGCCGCGUGGGGGAUGAAGGCCUUCGGGUUGUAAACCCCUUUCAGGAGGGAAGAAAUUGACGGUACCUCCAGAAGAAGGACCGGCCAACUACGUGCCAGCAGCCGCGGUAAUACGUAGGGUCCGAGCGUUAUCCGGAAUCAUUGGGCGUAAAGAGCUCGUAGGCGGUUCAGCAAGUCGGCUGUGAAAGUCCGAGGCUCAACCUCGGAAUUGCAGUCGAUACUGCUGUGACUCGAGUCCGGUAGAGGAGAAUGGAAUUCCCGGUGUAGCGGUGAAAUGCGCAGAUAUCGGGAGGAACACCAGUAGCGAAGGCGGUUCUCUGGGCCGGCACUGACGCUGAGGAGCGAAAGCGUGGGGAGCAAAC